RNAcentral lists this long non-coding RNA (679 nucleotides) under Hordeum vulgare. RNAcentral's name for it is "long non-coding RNA (HVUL_LNC009448)". The record is from RNAcentral. Lineage: Eukaryota; Viridiplantae; Streptophyta; Magnoliopsida; Poales; Poaceae.
CAAAAUGAGAAAACACAUGUACUGAAUGUAACUUAUUACAUUCGUGACUGUAUUAGAAAUAUGAAAAUUUGAGAAUGUUGACAUAACUGAAACAAACCUUCUCACACGUCGUACUUGAGGCAACAAGGAACAAGCUUCUUCCUUAUCCUGACUUCGACCUUUCCUGCAUACAAUUUUUUUCUAAGGAUGAGUAAAAUUUGAACCAAUUGUACUACAAGGUAAUACCAUUUGUUGUAUACAAGAGUUAUGUAUCAGCUUUUAUAUGAGCCAAAAUCUGACGGAUAUCUUGAAUAUUUUGAUAUGGGGAGCAUGUUAUGAAAUCGAAAGAAAGGAUGGACAUACAAAGAUCACAAUAAAACGAAGCCUCAUAACUUCAAACUAGACAAGAAAAAAAAGGCUAAAUGCAUGGGCACAUGGCAUCAUACAAUUGUUCGAUAACUAUAUUUACUAUAACUGAAAAAGAACAUUUAAUCGGGGAGCGUAGGGUCAAGGUCCCAAUCGGAAUUAGAUCACAAUCCAGUGCCACUGCCAGAUCGUAGCUUUGAAGACUAUUUUUGAGGCUUAAAUCCAUAUUCCUGUUUACCUUUCACUCUAGAAGGUAUCAACAAUUUUACCUGGAGUAUGCGGCUGCCCACAGUAGAAGCACAAGUGUGUAUUUACGUCUGUCAGGGAAGAGGGG